GGCUUUCGAUGGCGGCGUUGGUGCCGCCGGUGCUGAAUUUGCCGGCUCCGCUGGCCAGCUGCGUGGCGGAAGACGUUCUGCUGCGUCUCGGCAGCUU
RNAcentral lists this transfer RNA (97 nucleotides) under Paenibacillus cookii. RNAcentral's name for it is "tRNA-Phe". The record is from RNAcentral. RNAcentral also lists the same sequence under 1 other name. Lineage: Bacteria; Bacillati; Bacillota; Bacilli; Caryophanales; Paenibacillaceae.